GGUUCAGGAUGAACGCUAGCUACAGGCUUAACACAUGCAAGUCGAGGGGCAGCAUUGGAGUAGCAAUACUUCAGAUCGGCGACCGGCGCACGGGUGAGUAACACGUAUCCAACCUGCCGCUUACUCGGGGAUAGCCUUUCGAAAGAAAGAUUAAUACCCGAUGGUAUAAAGAGUUCGCAUGUUCUCUUUAUUAAAGAACUUCGGUAAGCGAUGGGGAUGCGUUCCAUUAGAUAGUUGGCGGGGUAACGGCCCACCAAGUCUACGAUGGAUAGGGGUUCUGAGAGGAAGGUCCCCCACAUUGGAACUGAGACACGGUCCAAACUCCUACGGGAGGCAGCAGUGAGGAAUAUUGGUCAAUGGACGAGGGUCUGAACCAGCCAAAGUAGCGUGAAGGAUGACUGCCCUAUGGGUUGUAAACUUCUUUUAUAAGGGAAUAAAGUGAGGGACGUGUCCCUUUUUGUAUGUACCUUAUGAAUAAGGAUCGGCUAACUCCGUGCCAGCCGCCGC
Molecule: ribosomal RNA, 507 nt
Filed under: uncultured bacterium
Lineage: Bacteria
Description: bacterial SSU rRNA
Rfam family: Bacterial small subunit ribosomal RNA
Source: RNAcentral